Molecule: transfer RNA, 98 nt
Rfam family: tRNA
About the family: Transfer RNA (tRNA) molecules are approximately 80 nucleotides in length. Their secondary structure includes four short double-helical elements and three loops (D, anti-codon, and T loops). Further hydrogen bonds mediate the characteristic L-shaped molecular structure. tRNAs have two regions of fundamental functional importance: the anti-codon, which is responsible for specific mRNA codon recognition, and the 3' end, to which the tRNAs corresponding amino acid is attached (by aminoacyl-tRNA synthetases). tRNAs cope with the degeneracy of the genetic code in two manners: having more than one tRNA (with a specific anti-codon) for a particular amino acid; and 'wobble' base-pairing, i.e. permitting non-standard base-pairing at the 3rd anti-codon position.
Source: Rfam
GGGAGUUUGGCCGAGUGGUUUAAGGCGUCAGAUUUAGGUGUAACAGCUUGAAUUCUCUGAUAUCUUCGGAUGCGCGGGUUCGAAUCCCUCAGCUCUCA